GGGAUAAUAGUAUAGUGGUCAGUACUUCUCGUUGUGGGCUCACACCGACAGCGCCGAGAGGAGCCAGGUUCGAUUCCUGGUUAUCCCA
This 88-nucleotide transfer RNA is filed under the name Immersiella caudata. RNAcentral's name for it is "Cercophora caudata tRNA". It matches the Rfam family "tRNA". From Rfam's summary of the family: Transfer RNA (tRNA) molecules are approximately 80 nucleotides in length. Their secondary structure includes four short double-helical elements and three loops (D, anti-codon, and T loops). Lineage: Eukaryota; Fungi; Ascomycota; Sordariomycetes; Sordariales; Lasiosphaeriaceae. The record is from Rfam by way of RNAcentral.